UACGUAGGGCGCGAGCGUUGUCCGGAAUUAUUGGGCGUAAAGAGCUCGUAGGCGGCUGGUCGCGUCUGCCGUGAAAGGCCUGGGCUUAACUUGGGUUUUGCGGUGGAUACGGGCCGGCUAGAGGUAGGUAGGGGAGAACGGAAUUCCUGGUGUAGCGGUGAAAUGCGCAGAUAUCAGGAGGAACACCGGUGGCGAAGGCGGUUCUCUGGGCCUAUCCUGACGCUGAGGAGCGAAAGCGUGGGGAGCGAACAGG
Molecule: ribosomal RNA, 253 nt
Filed under: uncultured bacterium
Lineage: Bacteria
Description: partial 16S ribosomal RNA
Rfam family: Bacterial small subunit ribosomal RNA
Source: RNAcentral